CCGGCCCCGGCUGUUAUGCAAAGGUUACGGUCCCUCCGCAAAUCCGCUGGGAAGCCGGCGGGGCGCAGCGGCGCAGCGAGCAUGCUCGGCGAUAAUCCCCCCCGCCUUAGCUACAGACAGAGCGAACACUGCCCAUGAUCCGCGGACGAUGUGGAGGCUCUGCCGUGGCCUGACGCUGAUGCUAGCCCUUCCACCGUGGCACACCCCAACCGAUUACAGGGCAGUGGCACUGAUAGGGCGCGGAUCAGCUGCGCCGCGAAGACAGCAUCCACAGCCAAGAGGGCGGCUGCCGCUGAAGGCAGAUUGGAACCGGUGGCCUCGGAGCUUCCGCAGCAGCGGCCGAACACCCUGAGCCAGGCACUCUGUCCGCUCCGCCUCCCGCCGCCGGCCUCCUCAUUGCCAACGGGCCGCCUCAGCCCGCGGCCUGCCCUCAUGGCACCUUCCCUGCUCUCCUGCUUCUCGCUUCAUUCCCACUGCGCUCCCAUCUUCACCACUCUCCUGCCUCUCUCUCCAGUCCCACGCCGCUCCCGUGCUCCCCGCCGCCUCUCCGCCCAGCACAGCCCUCACGCCGGCCUCUGCUUCCCCAGCCCUGCCAUGCCCCUGCCUGCCCUCACGGCCCCGCACGCCUCACACCGCACCCGCACCCGCUGCCCUCCACCCGCACCGCCUUUCCUGCUGCCGCUGCCCACCCCCUGCCCCAAUUCCUGCACAAGCCUCCCCUGGCACAACUCCAGGCACAGCCAGGGCCCCUGGCACGGCCCCGCUGGAGCAGGGCAGGAGCAGCGGCUGAUGCCCUGAGCACAGUCCCGCUCCCGUCCCCAGCCGCACUGCGGAGGGGAGGAGGCACAGCUGCCAAGGAUGGCAGGGCUUUUUCACCUCUGCUUUUAUUCCUUCUUAUCCUGCUCUGAUUUGCUUGGCAAUAAAGUCAAUUAAUAUCCCCAAGUGGUA
Long non-coding RNA from Passer montanus (Eurasian tree sparrow), 948 nucleotides. RefSeq lists it as uncharacterized. The transcript is spliced from 2 exons. The record is from RefSeq and is a predicted model, not a curated record. Lineage: Eukaryota; Metazoa; Chordata; Aves; Passeriformes; Passeridae.